Molecule: long non-coding RNA, 452 nt
Filed under: Prunus persica (peach)
Lineage: Eukaryota; Viridiplantae; Streptophyta; Magnoliopsida; Rosales; Rosaceae
Description: long non-coding RNA (PPER_LNC002827)
Source: RNAcentral
UCUAAAUUCCACUUGUUUAUACCCCCACAUACGAUGCUUCCUAUCUUCAUCCAGGAAACCCAAGUGAGGCCACACCUUCGCCUUAACCCCAAACUUCCCCAACUUCCCCAAUCCUUCCAAUCUUAAUCUUCUCUUCCUCUUAUAUAUAUACUCCUUCCAAAUCCACACUCUCCUCCAUUCCACUCAACACUUCUCACUUUGAAUUUCAAUUUCCAACUCUCCUUUGUCUAAGUUUUCUUUAUCUUUGUCUAAGAUGGCAACAGAGCAUGAAGAAACUUCAGCUUUAGAGCUGAUCAGGCAACACCUCCUCAAUGAAUUCACCUCCAUGGACAGCUUCAUCUCUAGCCUCCACCUUUGCACCUCCCAAAUCCCCCAACCCCAAAUUUCCCAUUUUCCCUCUCAAUCUAAGACAAACUCCAUCACCAGCUCUGAUCAGUAUUUCAGAAUCUCUG